UUGAAAACCCUGGAGACUGAAGUCUUCUUUAUUCCACAGAAAAGGUACAGCACAGGCAGCAAACCGUGCAAGCUUCCCACACGUUGCCCCACCGAUGCGCUUUAACCCUUAACUGGAGGGUAGCUCAGUCUCCCUGCCCGUUCAGUCCUUGGCCUCU
Molecule: unclassified non-coding RNA, 157 nt
Organism: Cyanistes caeruleus (blue tit)
Lineage: Eukaryota; Metazoa; Chordata; Aves; Passeriformes; Paridae
Source: Ensembl